This 220-nucleotide unclassified non-coding RNA is filed under the name Hevea brasiliensis (rubber tree). Lineage: Eukaryota; Viridiplantae; Streptophyta; Magnoliopsida; Malpighiales; Euphorbiaceae. The record is from RNAcentral.
GACAGUUCCGUUAGGACGGGAAGGAAACCAUUGUCUGUUAUCGGCAAUGCAAACAAUGAGAUGAGCGGCCAGUUCAGAAAUCGCCUCAGCAAUAACGCCAAAAUAAUGAAGGACAAAUUAGAAGGAAGUGGUUUACUACAAGGGAACAGCAACCGGAUAAAGAAUCCUCAGGGAUUGCGGAUUUCGUUGCCUAGGAGUCUUUCGGUUGCAAACAUAUCAU